RNAcentral lists this ribosomal RNA (251 nucleotides) under uncultured bacterium. Its description in RNAcentral is "partial 16S ribosomal RNA". It matches the Rfam family "Bacterial small subunit ribosomal RNA", at positions 525 to 775 of the family's 1533-position model. The record is from RNAcentral.
ACGUAGGGUGCAAGCGUUGUCCGGAAUUACUGGGUGUAAAGGGAGCGCAGGCGGAUCGGCAAGUUGGAAGUGAAAACUAUGGGCUCAACCCAUAGAUUGCUUUCAAAACUGCUGGCCUUGAGUAGUGCAGAGGUAGGUGGAAUUCCCGGUGUAGCGGUGGAAUGCGUAGAUAUCGGGAGGAACACCAGUGGCGAAGGCGACCUACUGGGCACCAACUGACGCUGAGGCUCGAAAGCAUGGGUAGCAAACAG